This 81-nucleotide transfer RNA is filed under the name Adoxa moschatellina (townhall clock). RNAcentral describes it as "tRNA-Leu". It matches the Rfam family "tRNA". From Rfam's summary of the family: Transfer RNA (tRNA) molecules are approximately 80 nucleotides in length. Their secondary structure includes four short double-helical elements and three loops (D, anti-codon, and T loops). The record is from RNAcentral. RNAcentral also lists the same sequence under 2 other names. Lineage: Eukaryota; Viridiplantae; Streptophyta; Magnoliopsida; Dipsacales; Adoxaceae.
GCCUUGGUGGUGAAACGGUAGACACGCGAGACUCAAAAUCUCGUGCUCAAGAGCGUGGAGGUUCGAGUCCUCUUCAAGGCA